UUUCCCAGUGUAGUGCCAGCAGGGCUGGCCCAAAUGGGAAUACAAAAAAUCCUCAUGUACAAUUUGUAUUCUAACCUUUUGGCAGCGGAGCGCAACCAUGACAAUGUUAAUGCACUAGAACAUUAUACCAGAAAUAUCUCAUACAUGGGGCGGACGUACAACCUGGAUGCUAUGGCUCAGCACCAAGAUGGUGCCAUGGCCGUGUUGGAUGAUGUUGCUAUGUGUACAGCGGUCCUGGCUGCUAUUGUUCCAGAAGUAUGUAAUCGGGUAGCGAUGGCCACCAUAAGGGAGGGUCAGCAUCCACUUGUGGAGGUGUUUGCGGACAAUGUUCCCAUGCUACAGAGAGGGCAAGAAUUGAAUGUUGAGCAGGAUAUUAUGCUCAUGGGGCUGUUUAUGGCAUAUACUCACAAGCUUGGUUCAAUAUUUAAUCUGAGUACGCGGCUCUGUUUGGGUGCCUACUCCCACGAGACAAAAAUAGGAACCUGUUGGCUCUAGCUCAUCAUGCCAGAAGAAAUAGAACUUAGGUCUCUGGGAAGAAACAGUAGUGGUGAGGUUGUGCUAAAUGGACCCUACCACUGUUCUGAAAAUUCCAGAUGUCCAGACUGUGAAAAGUUUUCAUAUCUGGCAUACUCCUUUCUUAUAUUCUUGACAGUACUGCUAUUUUCAGUGUAUCUACUUUUUGUGUGUCCAUUUGAAAUAAAACAUUUGUAUGGUACUUGGCAGAGUGGAGACUCUAUAUUGGCUGGAGAAGUGGGGCCCAUAUUGAACAGAACUGUUACUUCAAAAUCUUGUUGGAGGGGGCCCAGAUGUGAAAUGUUUAUUCCAAACAUCCCUAUUAUCCUGCCAAAUGAUACAAUUUAUCCAAAUUUUACAAAUUACAAUGGAAGCUAUGCUGAUUAUAGGACUACUCUUCAAGAAAUAAUUCAUACCAUCUUAUAUGAUCAAUGUAACGUCACUGUUUUGUUGCACACAUCCUUUGGGAAGACAUAUGGUAUGGAUGAUGUAUUUUUUAAAACAGUCAUGUAUAAACUCAUCACUUCAUUUUUGAUGGAGGGAAGUACCAUGUGUGAUCUGAAGACGGCAGCCAGGGAUGUUUAUGUCUUACACUCACUAUCCCACCUCCAUGAUGUUGGAAAGGGCUGUAAACUAAGACUUGAUAACAUUUAUGAUGAAUCUUCAGGGAGCCACUACAGUCGAGAGUGUGUAAAGCAGUUUGAUUGUAUGUUGUGUAUUUACCCCAAGUCUAUAAGUGUUUCCUUUAAUUAAAAACUACCACCCACUAUAUUUAAAAUUUGUACAAAUAAAAUGUGGUACGUGUCAGAAAAUUACACUAUGACAGAAACAACUACCAUCUCUGGACAAACAUCAUCUGGAUUUUCAUUUCAUGUGCCUAUCAUGGUCAUAGUGUUGAUUUUGCUGAUUAUUGGACUGUUGCUGUAUGGAGCAUAUAAGUGCUUUUUCUGGGUUAUGUACAAGCGGGCACAGAUAAUGGGGUUGCCAGCCCAAGCACUCUUGUCACGUGUAAAGGUGUAAAAAUCAUUGUACAAACUUGACUAAAUAAAGAUUAUUUUAUUGAAAAA
RNAcentral lists this non-coding RNA (1580 nucleotides) under synthetic construct. The record is from RNAcentral.